This 321-nucleotide ribosomal RNA is filed under the name Enterococcus faecium. RNAcentral describes it as "bacterial SSU rRNA". It matches the Rfam family "Bacterial small subunit ribosomal RNA", at positions 1 to 300 of the family's 1533-position model. Lineage: Bacteria; Bacillati; Bacillota; Bacilli; Lactobacillales; Enterococcaceae. The record is from RNAcentral.
UUUUAUGAGAGUUUGAUCCUGGCUCAGGACGAACGCUGGCGGCGUGCCUAAUACAUGCAAGUCGAACGCUUCUUUUUCCACCGGAGCUUGCUCCACCGGAAAAAGAGGAGUGGCGAACGGGUGAGUAACACGUGGGUAACCUGCCCAUCAGAAGGGGAUAACACUUGGAAACAGGUGCUAAUACCGUAUAACAAUCAAAACCGCAUGGUUUUGAUUUGAAAGGCGCUUUCGGGUGUCGCUGAUGGAUGGACCCGCGGUGCAUUAGCUAGUUGGUGAGGUAACGGCUCACCAAGGCCACGAUGCAUAGCCGACCUGAGAGGG